CCUACGGGAGGCAGCAGUGGGGAAUUUUGGACAAUGGGCGAAAGCCUGAUCCAGCCAUUCCGCGUGCAGGAUGAAGGCCCUCGGGUUGUAAACUGCUUUUGUACAGAACGAAAAGGUUUCUAUUAAUACUAGGAGCUCAUGACGGUACUGUAAGAAUAAGCACCGGCUAACUACGUGCCAGCAGCCGCGGUAAUACGUAGGGUGCAAGCGUUAAUCGGAAUUACUGGGCGUAAAGCGUGCGCAGGCGGUUAUAUAAGUCAGAUGUGAAAUCCCCGGGCUCAACCUGGGAACUGCAUUUGAGACUGUAUAGCUAGAGUACGGUAGAGGGGGAUGGAAUUCCGCGUGUAGCAGUGAAAUGCGUAGAUAUGCGGAGGAACACCGAUGGCGAAGGCAAUCCCCUGGACCUGUACUGACGCUCAUGCACGAAAGCGUGGGGAGCAAACAGGAUUAGAUACCCUGGUAGUCCACGCCCUAAACGAUGUCAACUGGUUGUUGGGUCUUAACUGACUCAGUAACGAAGCUAACGCGUGAAGUUGACCGCCUGGGGAGUACGGCCGCAAGGUUGAAACUCAAGGAUUGACGG
This 583-nucleotide ribosomal RNA is filed under the name uncultured bacterium. RNAcentral's name for it is "bacterial SSU rRNA". It matches the Rfam family "Bacterial small subunit ribosomal RNA", at positions 338 to 916 of the family's 1533-position model. The record is from RNAcentral.